This 256-nucleotide ribosomal RNA is filed under the name uncultured bacterium. RNAcentral's name for it is "partial 16S ribosomal RNA". It matches the Rfam family "Bacterial small subunit ribosomal RNA", at positions 524 to 776 of the family's 1533-position model. The record is from RNAcentral.
UACGGGGGGGGCAAGCGUUGUCCGGAAUCAUUGGGCGUAAAGGGCGCGUAGGUGGCCCGGUCAGUCUUUGGUGAAAGCGCGGGGCUCAACCCUGCGUCGGCCAGGGAUACUGCCGCGGCUCGAGCACUGUAGAGGCAGGCGGAAUUCCGGGUGUAGCGGUGGAAUGCGUAGAGAUCCGGAAGAACACCGGUGGCGAAGGCGGCCUGCUGGGCAGUUUAGCUGACACUGAGGCGCGACAGCGUGGGGAGCAAACAGG